AUUGAACGCUGGCGGCAGGCCUAACACAUGCAAGUCGAGCGGAUGAAGGGAGGUUGCUCCUGGAUUCAGCGGCGGACGGGUGAGUAAUGCCUAGGAAUCUGCCUGGUAGUGGGGGAUAACGUCCGGAAACGGGCGCUAAUACCGCAUACGUCCUGAGGGAGAAAGUGGGGGAUCUUCGGACCGCACGCUAUCAGAUGAGCCUAGGUCGGAUUAGCUAGUUGGUGGGGUAAAGGCCUAACAAGGAGACGAUCCGAAACUGGUCUGAGAGGAUGAUCAGUCACACUGUCACUGAGACACGGUCCAGACUCCUACGGGGGGCAGCAGUGGGGAAUAUUGGACGAUGGGCGAAAGCCUGAUCCAGCCAUGCCGGGUGUAUGAAGAAGGUCUUCGGAUUGGAAAGUACUUUAAGUUGGGAGGAAGGGCAGUAAGUUAAUACCUUGCUGUUUUGACGUUACCAACAGAAUAAGCCCCGGCUAACUUCGUG
This 484-nucleotide ribosomal RNA is filed under the name uncultured bacterium. RNAcentral describes it as "partial 16S ribosomal RNA". It matches the Rfam family "Bacterial small subunit ribosomal RNA", at positions 30 to 507 of the family's 1533-position model. The record is from RNAcentral.